CUCAGCUGUGCUUUACUUGUGGCCAGUGGCCCCUAGGAGGAUGAGCUCUGCUCAGGGAGACAAGGGACUACUAUUUGCCAGUUAAUGCCAGCAAGUCAUUUUAUGUCUGGGGACCUCAGUGUCCAUGGAGUGAGGUUAUCUCUAACUUGGAUCUCAUCACAAGCCAUCUCUGAAUCUGCCUGGGGUCUGCUUCUGCCUGGGGCACGGAAAUAUCUCCUGGAAAAUGUAUAAAGGAACAAAGAAGAAGGGUAACCUUGGAAGGGGAAAAAGAGGUAGAAGCUGCCAAGACUGGGGCGUGUGCCCUAAUAAGAACUUUCCACCUUCCGUGCUCACUGCCAGAGCUGCUGCCUUCUCCUGUCCCUUCCCGUCUGUUGCCCUGGGUCCGUGA
This 388-nucleotide long non-coding RNA is filed under the name Capra hircus (goat). RNAcentral's name for it is "lncRNA (ENSCHIG00000003772.1)". Lineage: Eukaryota; Metazoa; Chordata; Mammalia; Artiodactyla; Bovidae. The record is from RNAcentral.